This 2239-nucleotide long non-coding RNA is filed under the name Ananas comosus (pineapple). RNAcentral's name for it is "long non-coding RNA (ACOM_LNC024574)". Lineage: Eukaryota; Viridiplantae; Streptophyta; Magnoliopsida; Poales; Bromeliaceae. The record is from RNAcentral.
GAGUCUCUUUCACAUCUGUAGCAUUGCGGAGUUCUAAAAGCAUUUACAAACUUGUUUUAAGUGGUUAUAUUUUCAUUUGUUUGUGUUUGCAAAUCACUGAGAUGGAGUAAAAAAAUGGUCCAGCCUUUGAGUAGGGGUGGAAACGAGCCGAGCUCGAGCGAGCUUACCUCGGCUCAAAUUCGGUUUGAAAUUAAUUUCGAGCUUAAAUUUAAGCUCAAGCUUGGAUUGAAAUUAAUUCGAGCCGAGCUCGAGCGAGCCUAAUUUCGAAUCGAGCGAGCUCGAGCCCUAAACGAGCAGCUUGAAAUUCUCAACAUCAUACGAUCAAUAGUUUAAUUUGUAUAGAACAUUAUCUAUAAUUUGAUACAAAAAUAUGUCUAAUAGUUCUAAGCACAAAAUAAUUAUAUAAAAUAUAGUAUUAUAAUAUGAAAAUAAUAAUUUAUGAGUUAAAUAUCAAAUCUUUUCAGCCUCACAUGUCUUUUCUUCAGCCUUCAAUCUCCAUAUUAUUCAUUUUCAUUUAUGCAGUCAAAAAUAAAUAAAUUAUAUAGAUAAAUAUUGGAUUUGAACCUCCCAAUCAUAUAUAACAAAAAUUAAAUUUUAUAUGAAUAAUAAUUUUUAUUUAAAUAUUCUGUAUAUUUCUCAAGCAUAUAAUUAAUAGCAAGUAGGCAACGGCAGGCAUAUGCUUUAUUUGGUAACUUUGAGGCUUUUGUUGGCCUUAGAGUGAGAGACAGAAAAGAAAGAAGAAACAAAUUGAAAAUUUAGAUUCUGUGAAAGAAAGAAAGAAAGAAAAAUGUAUAAUUUAGUGAAAUUUUGCUCUUUAUUUGUCUUUUGACUUUGUUUUUAUGGCCAAUGUUAACUAAACUCAGAUUAUUCACUCAGCCUAUAUAAAUUAAAAUAUAUUAUAUUAUAUAUUUUUUAAUAUAUUAUAUAUAUAUAUAUAUAUAUAUAUAUAUAUAGUGUAGAAUUAUUAUGCUAUUGAAAAUAUAACGAUUUGAUGUUUUCGAAUUUUUGAUCCUUUGAUUAAGAAUUGUAUGAUGGGAUGAUUGGCGUCCCCCAGGAAUUAAAAUAUAUCCCUAUAUUAAUUCAAAGAAAUUAUUAAAGGCUUGAUCUAAGAAUCAAAAAAUUGAAAGCACCAUAUCCUUCCAUACUUUCAUAGCAUAGUAGCUUGACUAUAUAUAUAUAUAUAUAUAUAUAUUCGAGCUUUUCGAGCCUAAUUCGAACGAGCCGAGUAAUACUCAAGUUCGGCUUGAAAUGAAUUUCGAGUCUUGUUUUUUGUUCAAGCUCGGCUCAUUUAAUUUCGAAUCGAGCUCGAGCGAGCCAAAUAUCGAGUCGAACGCGAGCCGGCUCGCUCAUUUGCCAGCCCUACCUUUGAGAUCCAUGAGUUUGCGGUCGUUUGUAGUACUUGUUUGUAUGCAUAGCAUUACUCAAGAUCACCUCCUCUGAAGAUACCAUCAAGUUAUCAUGCUAAUUAAUUGGCUAAAGUGCACUUUUGGUCCUAAAACUGUGAGCAAACCACAUUUCGAUGUUCGAUAAUUUCUUAUGAUUUUGGUUUUGUUUUUUUUGUUGAAUGUUGUAAUUAAGUUUUGUAGAGCAAUUUAGUGACUCGCCGUGGUGAUGUGGUAACGUUGUUGUCGCUGAUAAUCUUAGGAAUGAUUAAAACAUGAUGUUAAUUAUAUGGUCAGUGAUAUUAUAAGGGAGUUUGGCCUAGCUUAGGGUUUAGAGAGUUUGAAGUCAAAAGUGUCUUUUAUUCAUUCAAAUUAAACAAAUUGGAAGUUUAAUUGGUAAAAUUAAAAUUUCGAAUGGUUAGAUAUUCUACUUAAAAUGGUACAUAGUUUAGAUAAUUCAUACACGUUUCUUUUCCUUUUGAAAAAACAUAACUUUGAAUUUUUUUGGGGCUUUUCAAAGUAUAGAAAUUGUGCAUUUGCUUCUUUGUUCGCUGGAGGGUUCGUUAAACUUAUAGUUGUGCCAAAUUGUUACGAUCUACACAAAUGAAUUUUCUUUUUAUAGAAAAAUAUAUAUAUAUAUAUUUUUUUUUUUGGCACUAUCUCAUUGCGUAUAAUAUUCUAUGCCCACAACUUCAAGCAAAGCCUAAAGUUGUUGGGGAAAAAAAAAAAGGUAUGAUUACUUCAAAUCGAUGUGAAGAUUGAUGUAAUGUUGUGUAUGUUAUGUUGCUCUCAUCUCGCAUACUUGUGGUUUACUCCACAUAUUGCUUGAUGUAAAAGAGAGAGUUCAAAAAAAAAAA